GGUGAUGUAGCUCAGUCAGUAGAGUGCUUGUCUGGCAUGCACAAAGGUGCCCUGGGUUGGAUCCCCAGGGCCACAU
RNAcentral lists this transfer RNA (76 nucleotides) under Mus musculus (house mouse). Its description in RNAcentral is "tRNA-Ala". The record is from RNAcentral. Lineage: Eukaryota; Metazoa; Chordata; Mammalia; Rodentia; Muridae.